UACAGCUUCAAGACGAGCAAGGGUGUGGGGUACUCAGCACACUUCGUGGGCAACUGCCUGGUGCUCACGUCACUCAAGAUCAAGGGCAAAGGGUACCAGCACUGCAUCAAGUAUGAGUUCCAACCCAGAAAGUGGUACAUGGUGGCAGUUGUCUACAUUUACAACAGAUGGAGCAAAAGCGAGAUCAAGGUCUUCGUCAACGGCCAACUCGCCUCCGCUACUGAGAUGACCUGGCUCGUCUCUACCAAUGACACAUGGGACAAGUGUUACAUCGGCGCCACGCCCGAACUCGG
This is a long non-coding RNA of Penaeus indicus, 293 nucleotides long. RefSeq lists it as uncharacterized. NCBI's taxonomy places the organism in Eukaryota, Metazoa, Arthropoda, Malacostraca, Decapoda, Penaeidae. The record is from RefSeq and is a predicted model, not a curated record. The transcript is spliced from 3 exons.